Alligator mississippiensis (American alligator) is the source of this 20066-nucleotide long non-coding RNA. RefSeq lists it as uncharacterized. Lineage: Eukaryota; Metazoa; Chordata; Crocodylia; Alligatoridae. The transcript is spliced from 3 exons. The record is from RefSeq and is a predicted model, not a curated record.
UCGGGCCCUGGAGGAACAGGUGAGGGAACUUCAGGCUGAGGUGAGCAGACUAUGGGGGAUCAGGGCUGUGGAGGAUGAGAUUGACAUGUAUUUCCAUUCUCUGCAGGAUCAGUCUUCCAACAGACAGACUUCCCAGGAAGGACACACAGUAGAGGAAUGGCAGAAGGUGACCAUCAGAACCAGGGCUGCUCGGGUUAGCGUGGUGGUGCUCCCCAAGUACAACUGGGGAACAGAUUCGAGGCAUUGGCAGCCUUGGAGGAGAAGGUUGAAGUGAAUGCCCCUGGUGGGGACGGUGCCACUCUACGCACAGCAUGGUCUGAGCAAGGACAGAACACCAUGAGGAAGAAACACUGAGUCCUUGUCAUCGGAGACUCCAUCCUGAGGGGAACAGAGGGUCCCAUCUGCCGACCCAACCCCAUGGCACAUGAAGUCUGCUGCCUGCCUGGGGCUUGGAUCCAGGAUGUUACAGGCAUGAUCCUGGACCUCAUUCGACCCUCAGACCAGUACCCUACGGUCCUAAUCCAUAUGGGAACAAAUGACAUGGCAGGGAGGAGUCCAGGCAGCAUCAUGAAGGACUACAAUGCCCUGGGGGCCAAGCUCAAGGAGAUGGGGGUGCAGGUGGUAUUCUCCUCUGUUCUCCCAGUAAGUAGACAUGGACGGUGCCAUGAGGCCUGCAUUGAAGUGGUCAACCAGUGGCUUUGGAGUUGGUGCUACCAGGCAGGCCUCAGGUUCCUUGACAAUGGCCCACAUUUUUAUGCAGGGGGCAUGCUCAGGUGGGAUGGGCUUCACCUCUCCCCUAAAGGCGAGUGUGUCUUCUCUUCCAGAUUGGCUGAUCUCAUACAGCAUACUUUAAACUAGCUUCAUUGGGGGAUAGGGCCACAGGGGGGCACGAGGACACUUCCCAGCCAAGACAAGUGGUGAGCACAGGAAGUACCCAGGUAAGUGACAGGGGUCCAGAUAUUCCUGGGAUCGGGGGGGUGCAUGCACCCAUAGGAGGCAUUAAAUGCCUCUACACUAAUGCUCAUAGUAUGGGGAACAAGCAGGAGGAACUUGCCCUCCUGCUAGCUAACACAAACCUGGACAUAGUGAGGCUCACUGAAACCCGGUGGGAUUCAACCCAUGAUUGGGCAGUAAACAUCAAGGGCUACAGACUGUUCAGGUGGGAUAGAAUGGGGAGGAAAGGUGGCGGUGAGGCACUCUAUGUCAAAGAGCAAUACACGUCCUCAACAAACAGCACAGGGUCACAGUAGGGGCAGACUGAAGUGCUCUGGGUUAGAAUACAAGGGGGUCAGGGGGAAAGGGAGUUAAUGGUGGGUGUCUACUAUUGACCAUCCAACCAGGGGGAAGAGCUGGACUGGGAAUUCUCAGGUCAGCUUGCGGAGGCAGUUAGGUCAAGGGAUGUGGUCAUCAUGGGUGACCUAAACUACCCGGACUUUUGCUGGGAGGAGCAGUCAGCCUGGUCUGACCAGUCAUGUAGGCUCCUAGGCAAGAUACAGGACCUCCACCUAACCCAGGAGGUGCACAGUCCCACUAGGGGAAAUGCCUUGCUGGACCUGGUCCUGGCCACAGGCAAGGACCUGGUGAGGGGACUGCGGGUUCUUGACCACCUGGGCAAUAGCGAUCAUCACCUACUGGAAUUCACCAUCCAGCACAGGGUAUCAAAGGCCUGCAGCAAGGCAACAGCCCUGGACUUCAGGAGGGCUGAUUUCAAUAAGUUAAGGAGAUUAGUUGGGGAGGCACUGAGGAGUUGGGAGUCCAAGACGGAUGGUUGUUCCUUAAGAAGAUGAUCCUCUGAGCCCAAAGGGUGACAGUUCCAAUGUGAGUCAAAGAGAGCAAAAAUGCUCAAAAUCCCCCAUGGCUCACCAAAGGCAUUCAGGAAUGUCUGAAAGCUAAAAAGGAGGUGUACACCUGAUGGAAGGGAGGGGCCAUCACCAAGGAGGAUUAUACCUCCAUCACUCAAGACUGUAGGGAGGCUGUUAGGAAGGCUAAGGCGGAGACAGAACUAGGACUAGUGAUCAGGAUCAAAGAUAACAAGAAGUCCUUUUUUAAAUACAUAGGGAGUAAAAAGAACGCACCAGGUAAUGUGGGGCCCCUGCAGGACAUGCUUGGCAAUCUGGUGGUUGCACUAGAUGAUAAAGCUGACCUCUUUAACAAAUGCUUUGCCUCCAUUUUUCUGAGCAGGGACCGGGACAUCCCCCCCAUCGGGAUUCCCGACAGACUCAGGAGAGGCACAGCCAGGCCUAGGAUCAGAGAGGACCUAGUUAGGGAACUUCUGGUGGGGCUGGACAUGUUCAAAUCAGCAGGUCCAGAUGAUCUCCACCCCAGGGUGCUGAGGGAAUUGGCAGAGGUCAUUGUGGGACCCCUGGCACAGCUUUAUGAGCACUCAUGGUGCUCUGGCGAGGUUCCAGAGGACUGGAAAUCAUCCAAUGUGGUCCCCAUUUUCAAAAAAGGGAGGAAGGAGGACCCAGGUAACUAUAGGCCCAUUAGUCUUACCUUGGUCCUGGGGAAGCUCUUUGAGAAAAGUAUCCAGAAGCACAUCUGCGGGAGAUUAUGCUUAGGGGCAACCCACAUGGGUUCAUUAGGGGCAGGUCCUGUCAGAUCAACCUGGUUUCCUUCUAUGACCAGGGCACAAAAUCACUAGACGCAGGUGUCAUGGUGGAUGUAGUCUUUCUGGAUUUUAGGAAGGCCUUUGACACUGUCUCUCACCCCAUUCUCAUUAAAAAAUGAGGUGACUGUGGUGUCAGUGCCUACACAAACAGAUGAUUUGCACAUUGGCUGGAGGGCUGCACCCAGAGAGUGGUGGUGGAUGGGUCAUUUUUGACCUGGAGGGAUGUGGGCAGUGGGGUCCCCCAGGGCUCGGUCCUUGGACCCGCACUGUUUAACAUCUUCAUCAGUGAUUUGGACAAGGGAGUGAAAAGCACCUUGUCCAAAUUUGUGGAUGACACUAAGAUGUGCGGAGAGGUGGGCAUGCUAGAAGGGAGGGACAGACUACAACUAGAUCUGGACAGGUUACAGGGGUGGGCAGAUGAGAAUAGGAUGGGAUUUAUUAAUGACAAGUGCAAGAACCAGCAGCAUACCUACAGGCUGGGGAACUCCCUUCUCAUCAGCACAGAGGCAGGAAAGGUUCUUGGAGUCAUUAUUGAUUCCAAGAUGAACAUGAGCCGCCAAUGUGAGGACGUGUCAGUAAGGCUAACCGCACCUUGUCAUGCAUCCACAGAUGCAUCACGAGCAGGUCCAAGGAGAUGAUCCUCCCCCUCUAUGUGACAUUGGUCAGGCCACAGUUGGAGUACUGCAUCCAGUUCUGGGCGCCACACUUCAGGAGGGAUGUGGACAACUUGGAGAGGGUCCAGAGGAGGGCCAUUCACAUGAUCAGGAGGCAGCAGGGCAGGCCCUACGAGGAGAAGCUACCAGACUUGAACCUGUUCAGCCUCCACAAGAGAAGGCUGAGAGGGGAUCUGGUGGCCAUCUAUAAACUUACCAGGGGGGACCAGCAGGGAACGGGAGAGCCCCUGUUCCCCUGAGCACUACCAGAAGUAACUAGGAAUAACGGCCACAAGUUAACUGAGAGUAGGUUCAGGCUAGACAUCAGGAGGCACUACUUCACAGUCAGGGUGGCUAGGAUCUGGAACCAACUUCCAAGGGAAGUGUGGUGCUCGCUUCUACCCUGGGAGGUCUUCAAAAGGAGGUUAGAUAACCACCUAGCUGGGGUCAUUUGACCCCAGCAUUCUUUACUGCCCAUGGCAGGGGGUCAGACUUGAUGAUCUGCUCAGGUCCCUUCCAACCCUACCAACUAUGAAACUAGGGUGGGGCGGGACAGGAAGGGGGAUGUAGCACCUCAGGUAAAAGUGGAGAGGCACUUGGGAAGUCAGAUGUCUGGUGGGUUGUAGUGUGUCAGAAUUCCAGAGCAGUUCAUUGGCUCAUAUGUGAAAAAUGGUGUGUAAAUUCCCUUUGAGGAUCAGGCCUGAGAUAUUGGAGAUAGUUGGUGUUCUGUUCUUGUCUUUGAUAGAUUUUUGGUGUGAGCUCAUUCUGGUGCACAGUUGUUGUUUGUAGUUUCCAUCAGGGCACUUGGAUAGAGAUAUGUAUUGUGUUGCGAAGAUAUCUCUAUACUGGAAAUAUCGUUGACAGCAUACCAUCCCUGCUGUUUUCAUCCAAAUCUGCCAAAAAACGACAAAGGUAUAGGCCCAUUAUAGCCUACAGGCAAAACAUCAAAACAGCGGUGAAACAACGAAACAGUUUUGACAAAAUGAAAUGGAACAGUGCUUCAAAACAAAAUGAAACUCAAAAUGAAACACUGUCCUGUUGAAACAGCAGAACAGAAUUCAAAAUGAAACAGUGCUGUUUUGCACAGCCCAAUGAAAGCAUGCACUUCAAUGGACAUGUUAGGAACAAUAUUUUAGUUAACAAGUCAAUAGAAAUGACUUUAGAAAAAAUUAGAGAUACAGUCACUCAUGCCCAAUUAAGUCAACCCUAAAGUCUCCUGUGAUCUUAAAAAAGCCCUUAGUGCAAACUCUGUAAAGUACAGCCCAAAAUAUUAAAUAAAGCCCUAUGCUAGAAAGGGAAAUAAGCUGUAUAUGUAUUCUAACACUUUCUCCUGUAAGCGUAAAAUUAUUUGUAACGGUAUUUUUUGCAGGUGUCACAAGACGGUCUUCCUAAUUCUUUUUUUAUCAUGCAAGCAAGUCUGGACUUCUGGGCAGAGUUGCUAUUUUGAGUUGUAAAAGGCUUUUUUGGAGGCAGCUUUGGGAGAGAGGGACUUACGCAAGCAGCAGGACAAUUUUCUCUCUGUUUUGUGUCUGAUCAGCAUCAGUUCCUGGGUUGAGUUGCAUGCUUGGAAUUGGUGUUAGGGUAAGAUUGCUCUGCAAUUUGACAUUCUUAUACUAUAUACUAGUACACACAUGAAAAUAUAAAGUGCACUUAGUGUAUAUGCAAACUCAUGCCAUUGAUUUCUCCUCUGGGAACUCAGCUUGGAUAUAUAUUCUCUGUCAUCAAAGGAGCCAUGUAACCGAGAGCCUGGGUCUACCUGUUCCUUUAGGUAAAAGCAGCCCAGCCAGAGAGCUCUGCAGCCUAGACAGGAUACAGCAGCUUCAGGUUUUGGGACCAACAAAGGCGAUCAAGAUGAUUAGCAGGCAUGUGAAGGCAGCCCAGGCAGCCUACUGACUGGAAGGAAGUAGGGUCCUGGGAAGAUAUAAGCUCAGAGCCUGAGCUGUCAAGCUAGUCUACAUCUGACAGCUGCAGGGUUGGGAGCUCCUGCUCAGAAGAGCUACCCAGGGAUUCUAGAUUAUCUGCUUUGCUGCCUGCAGGAAUAGUGAGGUUCAGGGAGUUCACAAGGAAUCCAGACAGGGAGGUAUGCUAGCACAAGGGGUGGGGGAAGGUCUGCCCUCUUAAAGGGGCAGAGGGCUGCUUCCACUGUUGUUAUGUUAUAGUUACACCGGCAGUUUAGGUUGGGACUGUAGGGAUGUAUAUGGAGGUCCCAUUAGUUCCCAAGGGACACAAAGUCACCUUGAGCCAAGGCCCAAGUAACUAUAGAGGCUGGAGUGGGCAUAGUGCAAUGUCACAGAGCCAGGCAGGGGCCCGGUUCUUGAGACGGUGAAAUUUGACAGAGGCCAAGGGCCCGGUGCCCCAAAAGGGCAAAUUCCAGGUCUGAUAUGGUGGGCCCCGGCUAGAAGGCCUAGCUAAAGGGGCAGAGGCCAAGGAGGCUGAAGCCCUGACAGUGGAACAUCUGUAAUACCCGCGAGGUUUGGCAGGUAUAUGAUGUACGAGUAUAUGAUGUACAGGAGGAUUGGAGCCAUGCAAUUAGACCCUAAGGUUUUAUGCGCCCAGUAGGGCAUGGUUGACAAGAGAGGCCCAGCAAGGGGCUUGAGACAAGAGGCACCCAGCGAGGGGCCUGGGACUCUUAGCCCAGGGUUUAGUUGAAUCAGAGCCAUGCAGAGGCCCAUGAGCAGCCUUCCUCUAUUAUUAUUUAUUAUUAUUAUUAUUAUUAUUAUUAUUAUUAUUCCAUCAAGGCAUGGCAGAUGAGAAGGGAAGGCACCCUAGGGGUAGAGCAGGGCAUGGUUGCAGAGCCACUAGGGGGCGUCAUGACUGCCCCUGGGAUCCCAACGUGGUACAAGUGACACUGGUGGCAGAAUGGGAAGUUGGUAUUAGGAAAAAGGGCAACAAUAUAUUUCAUAGAGGUCCAAGGCAAUAAAAACUCAGCACUUCUCUUGAGAGUCCUCUUCAAAGUCAAAUAGGCUUAACCUUUUUUUUUUGGUAUUAUAGUAGAAUCCUGAAGUCAACAGAUCAGAACCCCAUUGCCUAUGAGUUUACAAGAAGAUUACAAUUUAAGUAAAAGUUCUCUGAAAUUGAGUAUAAAAAGGAAAACAGCAAAAAAACAAAAAUGAAAAAAUAUGAGAAAGACGAUGGAAAAUAAGAGCAAAAAUAAAGGAGCAGGCUGCAAAUUACCAAAGGGAGGAUCACAUUUUGUGACUUUACUAUAACUGGAGAGGAAGAAAACCCAUAGUGCAGGGCUACCACAGGCAACUUUAUGCACUGCUCAUUCUUACCAAGGGUUAGAAGUGACCAUCUAAAGUUUGUUAAAAUUGUUCUUGAAAACAUGAUGAGUAUUAAUAAAGCAGUUUGUGUAGAGCAAGAAUGCCAUCCAGAGGUUGCUUUGUGUGAAGCUAAUCCACAUAUUCCAUGUGAUAUCUCCAAGGAAGGGCAUUGUAUGUAAUAGCUCUCUUUGACUGUUGGAAGGAUAUUGAUAUAUUUGCUGACUUCCCUGUUACAUCCUUAAAGAAGGAGGCUAAGGGCAAGAAAGCCUGUCACUAAUUACAAGGGGCCUGAACAUUAAGGCAUUAAACUAUGAAGGAAAGACCUAAAGAAGGUAAGGACAUGGCAGGACUAAAUGUAAGACAAAGAUGGAUAGGAAAGGUAUUAGCUCAGCAAGGCUGAACUGACUGAUGACUUAUUCUCUUAACAUAAAUAUUUCCUCUAGCUUUGACUUCUUGAUUUAGCAUUUCCAGUGUAAAUAGUGUAUAGAGCUGUAAAAGGAGAUGUUACUUAUGGGAACAGAAAUGGAUUUGCAUCUAAAUUGCAGGACAAGGGGCAGUUAGGCCUGUGGGGCAAGAUUAAGGCCUACAAACACUAUGUAUGAAUGCAAACACUCAGGGCAAUAAAAGUUAAGCGUUUUCAGGAUAAGAGUUUACAGGACCAGGACCUAAAUUUGACGUUUGCAGUGACAGCCAACAGAUUUGACUGUUGCAGGUGUCUGAGACUGUAAUAUGAAAUACCUGAAGAUGGUGGUUCAUGGUUCUUAUAUCAGAGGCCCCAUAGCAUACCUAAUAAGGAAGCUAGUCUAUGAAAAAGACCUAAGUUUUAAUGACCUACUCAAUACUAGUGUUGUAUGGUGAUAAAUGCCACAACACUGUGACAUGGGCACUCUAGGAGAUAAACAGGAGACAUGGCAACCCUGGGCUGCUUCCUUGUGAUGUGCCUUCUAGCAGUUGUUGUAUAACUCUAUAAUAUGUUCUAGAAUUGAGGGUUUUUUUAAUACUUCUGGUUUAAGAUAACAGAAAAUGAAAAAAAUGAGUUAUAUACAAUGGCUAAGACUCUGAUUUUCUCCCAGUUUUAUAUUAGUGUAACUCUACAUAGCUAACUACCACUCUGUCCAUUGGCUUUAGUAAAGUUAUUCUUGAUUUUUACAAGUGUAAGUGAGAGAAGAAAAAGAUCCCAUAAACAUACAACACAUUCUGCUGUAGUGGUUUGAUUCCCUUAAUCUUAUUCUGAUGUAAAGCAAAAAUGACUUUGUUGAUGUCAAUGGUGUGAUUCAGAUUAAAAUCUGGUUUAACGUGACUAUGUAUCUAUACACUGUUGCCAGGACUUUUCUUAGAGAUAUUAACAGUUGCAUAGAAAGGGUCUGAGCUGUUAAAAUGUGAAUUAUAUGCUGAAAGCAGAUUCCUACAUCUACUUAACACCCUCUCCUCCUCCACUACCUUUCAGGCAAAAGAUAAAUAAUUAUUAUGUCUCUUCUUUCCUUUUUUGAAUGUACCUAAGAGUCAGGGUUGAUUAGAACAUUUUAAAUAUUUCCUAUGACUGUAACUAAAGAUUAUCAUCAUAUGGAAAUCUUUUAUUAACCACAUUCAUAGAGGUCCUCAGGUUGUAAAGAGACUGCCCUACUUUGCACAGUAAUACUGAUGAAUUAGUUACUGAUGCAAUAGAGUAUAUUCACUCAGCUCCUGAAAAGCAUGGGAUUUUCUCAGCUGUGCAUUGUGGCUAAGUGGGGCUCACCGACUAGCCAGUGUUAGAUUCCCCACCUGCCUUUGGGCACACUCCCCACCUGUCUUUCCUGCCAUGCCUUGUUGUUCAUAGAUUUCAUAGACAUUAGGGCUGGAAGGGACCUUGGAAGAUCAUUGAGUCCAGACCCUGCCCGAAGGGCAGGAAGUCAGCUGGGGUCAUAGCAUCCCAGCAAGAUAAGCAUCCAAUUUACUCUUGAAGGUGUUCAAUGUAGGUGCUUUAACCACCUCCAAUGGCAGGCUGUUCCAGACCUUGGGGGCUCAGACAGUAAAGAAAUUCUUCCUUAUGUCCAGCCUGAAUCGGUCUUGCAGGAGUUUCUAAUCAUUUGACCUCGUCAUUCCUUGGGGUGCUCUGGUCAACAAACAUUCCCCCAGAUACUGGUGGUCACCCCUGAUAAACCUAUAGAUCGCCAUCAGAUCACCCCUGAGCCUGUGCUUUUCCAACCUAAAGAGCCCCAUGGCUCUCAGCCUGUCGUCGUAAGGUCUGUUUUCCUGACCUCUGAUCAUGCGUGUGGCUCUUCUCUGGACUCUCUUGAGCUUCUCCACAUCCUUUUUGAAUUGUGGAGCCCAAAACUGGAUGCAGUGCUCCAGCUGCGGCCUCACCAAGGCCGAGUCCAAGGGGAGAAUGACGUCCUGGGAUUUGCUUGAGAAGCAUCUAUGGAUGCAAGCCAGCGUUUUGGUCGCUUUACUAGCUGCAGCAUUCCAUUGCAGGCUCACAUUCAUCUUGUGGUCAAUGAUGACCCUCAAGUCUCUUUCUUCCAUAGUGCUAGCCAGUAUAGCACUGCCAAGCCUAUAAGGAUGCUGCGGGUUUUUCCUCCCACAGUGGAGAACCUUGCAUUUUUCAGCGUUAAACACCAUCAGGUUCUCAUCCACCCAAUACCUGAGCCUGUCAAGGUCUGCCUGGAUCACCUACUCUCCUGUCCUCAGGUGUGGAUGCUUUGCCCCAAAUUUUGGUGUCAUCGGUGAACUUGGCCAGUCCACUUCUGACUCCAAUGUUCACAUCAUUAAUGAAGAUGUUGAACAAUAUGGGUCCAGGGACAGAGCCUUGGGGGACCCCACUGGUCACAGGGUACCAUGAUGAUUGACUUCCAUCAAUUACUACCCUCUGGGUCAGACCAUGGAGCCAAUUUCCCAGCCAGCAGAUCAUAGUGGACCCAAGGCCACAGUUGGCCAGUUUCACCAAGAGGUGAUCAUGGGAUACCAGGUUGAAGGCUUUUUGGAAGUCAAGAUAUAUGACAUCAAUCUCUUCUCCCUUGUCCAGGUGAUAGGUCACCUGGUCGUAGAAGGAAAUGAGACUGGUCAAGCAAGACCUAUCCGCAACAAACCAGUGCUGGCUAUCCCUCAGGAAGUUGGCGUCAGCCAGUCCAUUAAGGAUGGCCUCUUUAAUAAACUUUUCUAAGAUCUUCCCUGGGAUAAAUGUCAGGCUGAUGGGCCUAUAGUUUGCCAGAUUCACUUUCCUCCCUUUCUUGAAUAUAGGCACCACAUUGGCCUUCUUCCAGUCUUCGGGCACUACACCAGAGUGCCAGGAGUUUUCAAAGAUCCAUGCCAGUGGCUGGGCUAUGAUGCUCGCCAGCUCCUUGAGUACCCUGGGGUGUAGAUUGUCAGGGCCGGCUGACUUGAAGGUAUCCAGCCUCUCAAGGUGUUCCUUCACGAGGUCAGCAUUGAUGGAGGGCAGGGGAUCUCCCUCACCCAAACCUCCCUGUUCUGUAGUGGGCAUGGGUGUCCCAUGGGACUGAUGAAAGACCAAUGCAAAGUAUCCAUUUAAUAGGCUGACUUUUUCUGGGGCAUCAGUUGUCGCAUCUGGUUCAGCAGGGGUCCAAUCUUGCCCUCGCUUUUUCUCCGGCUCCUCACAUAUUUGAAAAAGGACUUUUUAUUGUCCUUGAUGCUCAAAGCUAGUUGGAGUUCAGUUGCAGCCUUGGCUUUCCUGGUUUGCUCCCUGCAGGACCGGACCAAUGCAGAAUAUUCCUCCUUGGCGGAAUAUUCCUUGGAGGUGAAUCCCCACCCAUUCCUUGGAGUUGAAUCCCAUUCCUCAUCUUUUUUAGGCCUUUCUUUUUAGCCUCAGGAGGUCUGCUGGAUCCCUGGGCUGCUGUGCCCUCUUGCUGCCUUUCCUCCAAGAUGGAAUAGAAUUAGCUUGUGCAUUGAGGAUUGCUUCCUUGAGGAGCAACCACUCUUCCUGAACUCCCCUCCCCUUGGGGUCGUGGUCCCUUAGGGCCUCACUGACAAGCCUCCUGAGCUUGUCAAAGUUGGCUUUCCUGAAGUCAAGGACUUCAGUGUUGCUGACUGACUUGCCAGCUUUACAGCAGAUGGUGAAGGUGAUCAGUUUAUGGUCGCUGUCACCCAGCUUCCCAUCGAUCACUAGGUCACCAAUUACGUCAUUCCCAGUAGCCAGUAUCAGGUUGAGCAGCGCUUUACCUCUCAUUGGCCCAUAGACUUCUUCAGUCAGGUAGAGGUCAUCCACGCACAAUUGGAAUCAUUGCGACCACUCGGAUUUUGCUGAGUGAUCCUCCCACAAGGUGUCUGGGUAAUUGAAGUCACUCAUGACAACCAUGGUCCUGGAGCAUUUGGCCUCAGCCAGUUCCUGGGCAAACUCCUGGUGAAGCUCUUGACUUUGGGUGGGAGGUCUGUAGUAGACUCCCACCGUUGUGUCCCCCGUGUUAAUUAAUUAGGAUAUUAAUUAAGGUGGGAGGCUGCCCAUUCUUGCCUCAAUGCCAGGGGGUACUAUCCACCACUCCGUUUCUCCCCUACACUGCAGCCCAAGACUCGCAGAUGGCAUCUAGAUGACAAUGCUCCUGGCCUACAGUUGGGCCAAGCUUAGGCCUCAUUGUCAGACUUCAGACACACACACAUUCAUACCGCCCUCCUCUCACUAGGGCCUCUCACACUACACUCUCUCUCACAGGGUCUCUCUCACGCGUCAACAAUUUAUACUGCCUUGCUCCCUCUUCAAGCGGGCCCCUUAGGCCAUAGGCUUUAGCUAGCUCAUACCUUGGGUGGCAGAUGUACCAUCUUUUGGGUCUCUCCCAUGAGCCUCACCGGGGUAGUGGCCAGCCAAUUACUUGCCUGGGUCUAAGCUUGUCCUGGCCCCUUCCUGGGGCAACUCUAUACCCUCAGACAUACAGGGAUCCCAGCUCUCUGGUUUUUCUUCCCCAAAGUGGGGCUCCUCAUCUCCGCCCCCUUUCUGGGGCCACUCCUCAUUGGGGCGUUCUUAACUCACACCAUGACUGGUGUUCUGGGGUCUCACGGGGACUCUCACUCCCCCCCCGGAGCAGCAGGUCAUUGUGCUCAAAUAUAGGUCUCACUUUUGACCCACACUCAGCCUCCCAGUGAUGGAGGACUUACCGGGGCCAGGACUCACCUCUAUCUCUCAGACUGAGCCCACUUACUCGGCCUCUGGCCAAAACUACAGCCUCAGGUAUCUGAAGACAUAUCUUGGCCUACUCCCUUCACUUGGGCUCCACACCGCCCCCUCACUGGGGCCACAGGGCUUCCCUCCCCAGUGGGCUCAGGUGGCCAUAGCCGUGCCUGGCCCCCAUUCUUCCUCCUCAGGGUCUUGUACCCCACAGGGCUCAGGUGGCCACAGCUCUGCCUGGCCCCACUACCUCCGAUGUUACAUAACCCAUCUGAAGGUGAGGACUGGGGUUAAGGCACCCCUACCUGCCUUUUACCAGGGUGAUAACUGGCCUGGCAUUUCCUGGGGGCUCCUGCACCACUGAGUGUCCCACCAGGCCACCCACUCCUGGCAGGGUGCAGUUUUAGGUCAUGCCCAGGACCAGGAGCCUCCAAACCAUCCCCUUAAGCUCCUGCCUUUACCUCCAGGAUGUUGCAUGAAGCCUUACAGCCAGGCAAUGUUAGCGCCUGGCCUGCCAGCAGUGAACUGCUCUAAUUGUAUAGGCAGCCAAAGAUCUAAAAUGGCCACUACAAUCAAGCAUCUGCUGGCUGCUUGGCUCUGCUGUUAAAGUGGCAGGCGCCAACAGUUCCCUGCCACAGCAUAAGCCAUGAUGCAAAAUUAAUUCUGUUUUUCUGUAUACUGAUCUCUUAUCUUCUGUGCAUAUGAAGAUACAGAAGGUCCUAAAGUUGUUCAGUAGGAUGUCUUUAUUGUUAGACACUGUACUGGGACUGAAGAGACUUGGGUCAGCUUCUGGUACAAGCUUCCUGUAUGACCUAGUACAAGUCAUUUAUUUUCUUCAUGCCCCACUUGCUGAGCUGUAAAGUGGGGAUAGUAAUAGUUAUUUUUCCCUCAAUUUAUCUUUCUUUCCUAUAUAGCUUAUAAGUACUGUUAGGGUUAUGAUAUGGAUUUUGGGGAGUACUGAGUGUGCAGAUGAAUGAAGGCUUCUGUGUCUCAGCAAAAGCUGCUAGUCACAAGGCUGGAUGAUAUAUUAAAAGUUACUCACUUUCCUAAUGUUUAAGUAAGUGGAUUCCUAACAAAAGGAUAGGGUGCAAAGUGCAUGAUGUGUUGUCUAAAAAUAGAAUACAGACCAAUGGCUAUCGUUAGGGGACAAAGCAGAAGUAUAGCCUUGGAGAUGGUGCUGAAGUCAGCAAGAAAAUCAGAAAGAACCAGCCAGAAACUGCAAGUGACCGAAAGGAGCAGAGGUCAACGUCAUACGCAUGCGCUCUUAGCAGACAGGCAUGUAAAUGAAUGAAAUGCAUAGGCAAUACCAUGCUAAGAAUGCAAACAGUAAACAGAGGUGAAGCUUGAGAUGGGAGGAGAAAUGGUUGGAACCGAAGGAGAUACAUAGGCAGAGUAAUUGUUAAUGAGUAUGAACCAAGGUGUAUAAAAUGUUCAGGGAGGCUCCCUGGUUUGUUGGGUUUUUUUGUGAGCUAGUCUGAAGAUGUUUCCAUUUUGAAUAAAGCUGUUGUGAGCAAUGUGUGCUGGUGUUUGCUCCCCGCUUGCACUGGGUAAUGAAUAACAGGAUCCAUGAGCAAUUGGAUCGUCGUCUUCCUAGUCCUUGGGCGCCGCAUGGAGUCAGAGUCUAACAAGUACUUUUGGACAGGUAAGGUCAUUUUUUCUUUUUGUACAAUGGGGCAUAAUGGGACACUGAUCUCAGCUGUUUCUAUGUUACAAAUAAAUAAUAAUAAAUGUCCAGGUCACAUCUAUUUUGUUUCACAUAAUAGUAUAUCAAAGCACCAAGCUUUCAGCUUUUGUUGGUGUAGAAUACACCAGUCCCUCUUAAGCCACAGAAUAAAAUGCUUUAAAAUCUAAUUUUCCCCACAGGUCCUUCUCUGAAAUGCAAUGUUACCUCCUCCUGGAGUUUCAUUAGUUGUGGUUUGUUAAAGACGAACUGCAAAGACCCCAGAGAGACUCCAGUUGUUCUCAGUGUAAUGCUGAUAAUCCUGACAAUUGGCAGUGUUGUCUAUUUCCCCUUUGUACAACUUUUCCUUAAAUCUGUCUUUUAAUAUCAUGACAAAUGUUGUAGGGGCAGGGUUGGCAGGGAGAAGAGAACUUUGUCCCAGUCAUUUUUCUGGAUUCCCCUUCACUAGGUUAGUGUAGCAUCCACUUCUGCAGCUUUUCCUCAUGGCAAGUAGCACUUACAUUAUUAAUUUCAUUCACUUCUGUGGGCAUAGUUGCGUCAGGGUUGCAGAAUGUCACCAUAUAUCCAUGACAGAGCUUUUCCUUCUCCCACACCUUCUAUUUGCACCAUAGUUUAAAAAAAAAAAAAAAAAAGACACUCAUAGAACAAACUAAUGAAAUAUGGAUUGUUUAGCCACCAGUUCAGCCCUGUGGCUUUUGUUUGGAGGUGGCCAAUAACUACUUUUUAUCAUUUUCAAAAAAAAGGCAAGAGAAACUGACCCAAACUACCUUAUACCAGUUAGGUGCCUAUUCUAUUGUUUAAAGGGAGAAAGGCUCAUUCCAGUAAAAUAGAAUGGAGGGAUCCCAUUCAUCCCUUGGGCCUAGUCUUUGUAAUUUUUUUCUAUUUCUUUAACUAUAUAGUUAAAAAAUAGCUACAGUUAAAUAGUACUACCCCCUUGUGUGGACUUAAUUCCAAAGAUGCUUAUACAGAUAUAGCUUAUUUCCCAUAGGCAAUAUAAGCACCUUUAUGCCUUUAUGUGUCUGCACUAGUGGGUUUUACUGCUUUAAUUAAAUCAUUUUCUACAAAAAAAACCAACCCCAACAAAGCUGUGUGUGGACAAUUCCCUUAUAUGCUUGCCUUUAUUUAUACUGUGUAUAGAUAAGGCCAUAAAAAAAUGUGAAUUUUUGUUGUGUCUUAAGACCUUGGCUAUUCAUCCUGUCACUGUGGGUGGAGUAAUAUUUACAAGAGAAGAGGAAAACGACAACUGUGUUAGCAGCACUGACUCCUGUGAGUUUGCCAUUGGCCUGAGGGCUAAACUGAAGAGCGUGAGAACCAACAGGCACAGGAAUCUGUGAGAGCUGAGUUUCACAGGAGAGCAACAAUAUUAAAAGGAGACAUUGCACGUAACUAAAAUAUAACAACUGAGGACUCCUAAAGACAACGUAAACACAUUCCCUAGCUAGUAAAUACCAUUAACCUUCCGCUAACUCAUUCUCAUUAUAAAUAAAAACAUGCAAUGCAGUUUCUUUAUAGGAAUGUCUAGUUUUACAACCACUGUAUUUGUUCAACAAUAGUCUAUAUAUAUAAAGGGCUUAGUCCAUUUGUCUGUGUGUCUGUCUGUCCAUAACACUCUUUACAUGUGAAUAGCUUGAAAACAGUAAGAAAUAGAACAUUUGUGUCUUCAGAGAAAUUUCUUUGCUAAACCUUAGCAUUUGUUUAGUACCAUGUCAGAAUGAUCCAACUUCCAGAACUGGAAAAAAGUCAGGGGCCAGGGCUGUUUCUACUGAUCUUCUCCUAGGAGGGUGCUGGGAGCACAGCAAAGUGUGGAGGGCCGAAAGAGGGGCCAGAUGAGGAAAAGCGGGAGUCGGGCAGAGGUGCAAGGCAGUAGGUGAACAGUGCCAGGCUUGUCCUGAGCCCCGAGCAGGGAAGGAGGUGCCUGGUGGUGGUGGCACAGAGGAAACUCCAGGGUGUGGGCAGCUAUUAUGAGGUGCGGAGCUUGCCUGCCUUUGCCCUUGCCCAGCAAAGAGGUAUGCAGGCGGUGACCAGGUGGCAACAUAGGUGGGUCCCCCUUCAGCCUGCUGGAUGAAAGCAAGUGCAGGAAGGGAUUGGUAUCUUCAAAUGUUUAGUAGGGCUGUGAAAAAUUUUCCUGGCUGUUUUGUAUUGAUGCUGUUUUGGCUCAUUUCAAGCUCAAAACAGCAAAAUUGAAAUGAAGGGCUUUGAAAGAGCCUCAAAAUAAAACAAGGGUAGUCAAAAUGUUUCAAAAGUUUCAAAAAGACAUACAAAAAACUAGAACUCUUGGUUCCAAAAUGAUACCUUUUAUUAGACCAACUGGAAAAUGGCAAGAAAAUUGUCCUUUUCUGCAAGCUUUCAAGAUCAAAGUCCCUUCGUCAGGCUCUGAGAAAAGUGUACAUGGUACAAGAUAGUAAAAAGUCCCCAUAGGUAGGAAAUAAACUUCAUUUUUGCACAGAGAGAGCUGAAGAUGGAAGUCUGUCCCUCUGGGUCCAUGAGAGUGUCUUUGUGAGCUGUGUUGAGUAGCUCUUUGAUGUGUUGAUCAGGUAGAAUUUCUUCCCUGAAGGUGUCAGAUGGGAGGCAGGGAGGUAAAAAAACUUCUUUGUUGUUCUGCAAUGAAGUUUAAAAUCCAAAAUUGGCUGAAAUUCGGCAUCUUCCAUGUUUCAGGGGUACUUGGCACAGCAUAGGUUUUCUUGUUGUCCCCUUUCUAAGUCCGUACAGUCCAGUUUGGAUGGUGUACCAUCUGACUUUAGGCCGUACAUCAACUACACUACACUUUUACCAGCCCUGGAUUACCUUGCUCCCUGGUGUGCUUCUGUCUCCCUUUGGUUUGGGUCCACGGCUGCCCACAGAUCCUUUUUGUUCUUUUGUCUCAGGUUGGACAUCGUCCCACUCCUGGCUAGCUGUAUCCAUGAUCCAGUUCUCCAUCUCUAGUCAGUAGUUAGGCCCUCCUGGGCUUAAUUUAUCCAGGUAUGGCUCCUUCUGGGGCUGCCACCACAUGCCCUCUGAGGGGUUGCAAACAGCUUUGGGCCACUCCAGGCCCUUCAGAGGAUUCGUAUCUGAUCCUCUGUGAUCCUCAUCUGGCGAGGAUUUUAUGUCCCACCCCCCAGGGGGCCGGCUGGAGAAUCGGCAUUGGCAUGUCACCAUAAAGUGGGUUCAUGCCGGCACCGGUCCCAGCUCUCCCCUGGCCCAUGGUGGGUUUUUAUCUUUUCUUUAGCGCAGCAUUUUUCUUCUCAGCAGCCCCAUUCCAGCUGCACUUCUGGUUCCUGGUGGCAUCCCACUGGCUCCUUGCCUCUCCUUCCUUAGGUAAGUUUCUUUCCAUGGUGGUGUCCCCACCACACCCACGCCGCAUAAGGCCCCUGACCAUUUAGAAGUUGGACAACCCUGAUUUAUACCUUGCUGUAACAAGUGGGCCUUCCCAGAGCUAGUCAGACAUUGGCCUGCCCACCAGUUUCUGAGCUAACUGCCCAGCUCUCUUGCUUACUACACCUUGUUGGAAAAUGAUUAAGAUAUAACACCAGCAGGAGGCUGUUCAUUCUUCCACCCCGAUCCCAGCGGGGGCGCUAUCUGUGGCUCUUUUCCUCCCCUACACUGAAUCCCAAGCCUCACAGGUGUUUCCUCCAGCUAACUAGCACUGAGACCCAACAUCCAGAGUCUCACCAGGACUCUCACUUCCCACUGGAACUCCUCGUCCCAACACCCUCACACUGGGUUUACUUUGUACACACACACAAAGCAACACACACUGGACCCUGGGCCCACACACUAGGGUCCAAGCCUGCACAUACACUCUUGGGGCUCCAACCCCUUCCCAACUCUCGGGGCUCCUCGCAGCUCCAACCCCUUCCACACUCUUGGGGCUAGAAGCCCUACUCUGGGAUCAGGGCUCUGAGCCCUGUCCCCAAGCCCUCUCUGGGCAGUCCCCUUAUCCCUGGCCCCAGGAGCUUCCUUAAUAGCUCCCCAAGGCUCAGAGCCCCACCCCCCCUAGAGCUUCACACUGGCUCCUAUAUGCAGCCUCAGGCUUCCACUGCAGAGUCUGGAUGCUGCCACAGGUUCCUCCACCAACCUGGGCCCUGCCUCAGUGCUCCUCAGUGAGCCUGGGCCCCCCUUUCUUGAUCUCACCCACCAGGGAUGUUGGAGCUGGGGUUAUUAAGGCACCCUGACCCACCUUUCACUGGGGUGGUAACUGGCCUGGUAUUUCCUGGGGGCUUCUGCACCACUGGGAGCCCCAUCAAGCCACCCACUCCCAGCAGGGUGCAGUUUUAGGUCAUGCCCAGGACCAAGAGCCUCCUAGCCAUCCUCAUCAGUUCUUGCUCUUACCUCCUGGGUUGUUUCUGCUGCAUCUCAGCUAGGCAAUGUUUUUGCCUUCCCUGGGAACAGAAAACUGCAGCCUCUUUAUAUCUGGUUUCUAAAAUGGCUGUCACCAUCAGGUACCUGGUAGCUGCCUGACUGCCCUUAAAGUGGCAGGCACCAACAUUGCCCUGCCACACUUACCCAUCCUGCAACUCUUGGAGCUAAGUUUGUCCUCAAUGCUGACAUGGAUGGCUCUAAAGCUGACUUCUGUUCACAUAGCACUUGCUUAAAACUCAAUCACUUUAGCAGUUAAAAGCAUGAUAUCCUGCCUGUAUCCUAAGUUGUAACCAGUUCAGCACAAUGUCUUUUGCAGUGACAGGAAUUCCUGGUCACAUUUUUAUAUAUUAACUCUGACUAAUCUUUUCUUCUGAAUUGCCGUUCUGAAAAAUAUCCCAGAGAUACUUUCUCUACAUGCUGAACACUUCUUUGAAAAUCAUCUUUCAAGUGUCUCUAGUGGGGAACCCCAGAACAGAGGUACCCACAAUCAUGAGUCCGACCUGCAGACCAGUACCCCAUGGUUGUCAUCCACGUGGGAAUGAAUGAAGCGGCCAGGGGAAACCCUAACUGCAUUAUGAAGGAUUUCGAGGCUCUGGGGGCCAAGCUUAAGGAGACAGGGGCACAGGUAGUAUUUUCCUCUCUUCUUCCAGUGAGUAGGCGGGGACAGCGACACGAGGCCUGCAUUGGCGAGGUCAACCAAUGCUUACGGAGUUGGUGCCACCAGGUGGGCCUUGGGUUCCUAGAUAAUGACCAUUGUUUUCGGGUGGGGGACUUGCUGGGGCAGGAUAGGCUUCACCUCUCUUCUAAAGGCAAGCGUUUCUUCUCUUCCAGGUUGGCUGAUCUCAUACGGCAAGCUUAAAACUAGCCUCACCGGGGGAGGGGGCCGCAGGAAGGCAUGGAGGCACCACCCGAGCAAGACAGGUGACACGAGCAAGGAGUGCCCAGGGACCGGGACUCCCCCACCAUGAUUCAAGAUGGACUCGAGGGGAACGCCUCAAGGCCUAAGGUUGAGGAGGACCAGGUCCAGCAGACUUCAGACACGGAGCCUCUGGAGAGAUUAAAAGGACAACGUGCUCAGCCCGCAGGGGAGAUGUGUCAAGGAACUCAAGAAGAGCGGGGCCCGGAAGAGAUGAGGAGAGCUGCCCAGCAGGUGAUCACCCAGAAGAACCCCUGAAGAUGUCACUCAGAGAGGAAGUGGUGGGAGGCUGCAGCGGUGCAUGGACCCAGUGCGUGACCCAGUGCACAUAGCCUUGUCCCUGGGAGUGGUUCGAGAUUGGUCAGGCCACCUUGCAGUGCACAACGUGGUGCACAGAGCCUCGGCCAUGGGAGUGGUUCGAGACUGCUCAGGCCACCUUGAAUUGCACAACAGAGUGCAUGGAGCCUUGGCCCUGGGAACUGCUUAGGGGGUUCAGGCUUAUGAUCCCAGCAUGAGGCCAAGUAGCCAAAGGUGGUAGUGUGGCUUUGCUCAGUGUGGCUCAGAGCAGAAUACAGGGCCAGCGGGAAAGCCCCAGGCACAAGGCCAGGCAGGCGGAGCCAGAAGUGCAACCCGGCACAGCUGAAAGAGGUCUCAGUGCCCAGAGUGGAGCACAGGGCCAUGGGGAAACCCUGGGAUGAGGCUGGGAAAUGGAGGAGGUGGUGCGGCCCAGCCUGGGUGCCCGGGUGGGGCACCAGGCCAUGAGAAGAGUUAGAGGUGCUGCUGGAGAGUGGCCAUGGUCGAGCCAGUGACCGGGGAUGAGCCCCGACUGCCUAGAGAGGGAAACAUGAGUUUCUGGGCAGGUCCCACCAGGGAAGUGAUUUCUGGGGAAGGGGACCCCACUGGGGAGCCAGUGAGUAAAGGCCCCAGUCCCAGCACUGGCCCAGGAGGGAGGGCACUGUACCCCUAUUGUUGCUAUCAAGAGUUUUGUUAGGGCCCAUGAUCUCUGAGGAAGGGGACCCUAACUUCCAGUGUGUCUAUGUUUCCAGAGUAGGGUGGGUGUGCGCCAAAUAUUUUGGAGGUUGCUUUGUAUAUUUUCUAUACCAUUUCUAACCAAAUUGUUUCUUGUUAUGUCUUACCAUAUGUAUAUAUAUAUAUUCUUGUUUAGUUGCUACUUACUCUGUGUGUGAACUUACCCGUCCACUGCCAUAUUCUGUUUAUUGUCCUAUUGGGUUCCUGGUUAUUCACCUGAUGUGUUGACCUACCCGUGCUUACCUAUUUCAGGAUCCAUCACUCCUCUGUGCCUGGAGUGACUAGGGGACUCACCUUGCUUGUUGCUUAUAUGGUCCCUCUAUCAGGUGUUGGCGCUGGGUGCGACAUCCCAGUGGAGGGUCAGUUCCUGGAUCAUCAAUUAUUUUGGAGUAUUUUUUAUUGUCUAUCCUUUGUAAAUAUUUAUUCUCAUAUGUCAGGUGUAUUUUUAUAUUUAUAUUAUGAAUAAAUAAACUGUAUAUAGUUAAGUAA